UAGGGAAUCUUCCACAAUGGACGAAAGUCUGAUGGAGCAACGCCGCGUGAGUGAUGAAGGGUUUCGGCUCGUAAAACUCUGUUGUUGGAGAAGAACGGGUGUCAGAGUAACUGUUGACAUCGUGACGGUAUCCAACCAGAAAGCCACGGCUAACUACGUGCCAGCAGCCGCGGUAAUACGUAGGUGGCAAGCGUUGUCCGGAUUUAUUGGGCGUAAAGCGAGCGCAGGCGGUUUUUUAGGUCUGAUGUGAAAGCCUUCGGCUUAACCGGAGAAGUGCAUCGGAAACCGGGAGACUUGAGUGCAGAAGAGGACAGUGGAACUCCAUGUGUAGCGGUGAAAUGCGUAGAUAUAUGGAAGAACACCAGUGGCGAAGGCGGCUGUCUGGUCUGCAACUGACGCUGAGGCUCGAAAGCAUGGGUAGCGAACAGGAUUAGAUACCCUGGUAGUCCAUGCCGU
This 456-nucleotide ribosomal RNA is filed under the name uncultured bacterium. RNAcentral describes it as "partial 16S ribosomal RNA". It matches the Rfam family "Bacterial small subunit ribosomal RNA", at positions 355 to 803 of the family's 1533-position model. The record is from RNAcentral.